RNAcentral lists this ribosomal RNA (629 nucleotides) under uncultured Fusobacteriota bacterium. RNAcentral describes it as "bacterial SSU rRNA". It matches the Rfam family "Bacterial small subunit ribosomal RNA", at positions 72 to 717 of the family's 1533-position model. Lineage: Bacteria; Fusobacteriati; Fusobacteriota. The record is from RNAcentral.
UACUUGAUCCUUCGGGUGAAGGUGGCGGACGGGUGAGUAACGCGUAAAGAACUUGCCUUACAGACUGGGACAACAUUUGGAAACGAAUGCUAAUACCGGAUAUUAUGAUUGGGUCGCAUGAUCUGGUUAUGAAAGCUAUAUGCGCUGUGAGAGAGCUUUGCGUCCCAUUAGUUAGUUGGUGAGGUAACGGCUCACCAAGACGAUGAUGGGUAGCCGGCCUGAGAGGGUGAACGGCCACAAGGGGACUGAGACACGGCCCUUACUCCUACGGGAGGCAGCAGUGGGGAAUAUUGGACAAUGGACCAAAAGUCUGAUCCAGCAAUUCUGUGUGCACGAAGAAGUUUUUCGGAAUGUAAAGUGCUUUCAGUUGGGAAGAAGUCAGUGACGGUACCAACAGAAGAAGCGACGGCUAAAUACGUGCCAGCAGCCGCGGUAAUACGUAUGUCGCAAGCGUUAUCCGGAUUUAUUGGGCGUAAAGCGCGUCUAGGCGGCUUAGUAAGUCUGAUGUGAAAAUGCGGGGCUCAACCCCGUAUUGCGUUGGAAACUGCUAAACUAGAGUACUGGAGAGGUAGGCGGAACUACAAGUGUAGAGGUGAAAUUCGUAGAUAUUUGUAGGAAUGCCGAUGGGG